AUAAUAUUCAGUGAAACUUUUGGUGAUAUUAUUACCUUCGAUGUUCUACAGCUGCCAGGUUGGGAGAUCAACUACACCCAAAGGAUUCAACCGGUGCACGAUAACAAACGAAAAAAUAUCUGGGAAUCAAGUUGAGAACUGUAACAAAUCCUGGAUUUCCAUAGAUAAGUCCCUAUCUUUAAUAUAUAGACAAGUCUGAGUUGUUUUUAAUUUAUAGCUGUGUUUUAUUCGUUGUGCUCUUUUGGAUACGCAGUCGAUACGAAUUUAUUAUUAAUUGUUGCUUAAACUUUCUUUUUCACAGCAAUAAAUAUCAAUUUGGAUAAUCAUGUUUUAGUUUGUAUUAUUUCAAUUCUUAAGGUGUUUUCUGCUUUUCCGCCCUUUUUAUUAAUUUUUAACGUCGUUCGUUAAAAGGCUGGUGACCCCCAUCUGAGUACCAAUUAUUUAUAUACUUUAACUGAGACCGAAUACCACAUCCUGAAAAAGAGUUUCCAGCUGGGGAACCAUCGAAAUAUUCUGAGAAUUGAUAUGAUAGAUAUAGAGAGAAAUAUUGAAAAAAACGGUUGUAAUGUGUAAAAACAUAAUAAAUAAAUCAGUCAGAGUUUUCACUAUUAUUUAAUAAAGUAGAGGUACACCACAGUUAAAUUGUUUACAAGUAGUC
Diorhabda carinulata is the source of this 658-nucleotide long non-coding RNA. RefSeq lists it as uncharacterized. NCBI's taxonomy places the organism in Eukaryota, Metazoa, Arthropoda, Insecta, Coleoptera, Chrysomelidae. The transcript is spliced from 2 exons. The record is from RefSeq and is a predicted model, not a curated record.